CCCUCGCGAUUGCUGUAGCCUGGGCUGACUCUUCUCGCCCGGUUACUGCCACCUGGUUCUAAAUCAGCACGUCCCCAAAGUGCCUGAGUAUAAGAAGUGUCUGCCAGGCUGAUUGAAAGUGUAGAAUAACAGGUGAAGAAACUGAGGCACAGAGUUAGUUUAUUGCCCUAAUCACAAAGCUACAGGUGGAAGAGGAGGGUUUGAACUCAGAUUUCCUGAAUCCAAAUCUUGGUGAUGUUUAACCUAAGGUGUACUACAUCCUGAGAGCUAGCUGUCCUCAUACUCUAGGUGCCCACUUCUUCUCCCUGGAGGCAGCCAGUACUGUUAGUUGCCUGUAUAUUCCUCCAGAGAUGUUUUGUGCACAUAAAGAGAAAUCUCAUUGACCUAAGAUGGUUGGAGAAGGCCUUUCUGGAGAAUGAACAUUUUUGAUCAGAGUGGAGCAGAGAACAAGAUCCAGUUGGCUUGGCCAAACAUGGGGGAUGUGAUUUUGUGAUUGGACGAGGCUGGGUCUCGUGCCCAGCCCAGGUGGACAGACAGCUGGGUCUGUUACCCCAGGAAGGGGGCGAGGCGGGGGAAUGUGCCAGCACAUACAAACAGCAGCUGCCCUGUCUUCUCCACCCUCCUGGCUCCAUGACCUUGGACAAAUUCUUUUCCAUUAUCGGUUAUUACAAGAUACUGAGAAAUCCGAUUUCUUGACCUCACAAUAUUCCCUUUUCUUCAAACAUCACCCCAGGCUCUCCACUCAGCUCUGGUGUCUGCCGAAUCUCUAAAGGAAUUUCAAGACAGACAGUUAGCACUGGGGAGCCCAGCUUGGGUUGGAUUCUGCCAGUUUUCCAGAGCCAGUUCUCAGCUAUUUCUGGCUUGAACAGACCCAGGAUCUUCCUGCUUCCACGGGAGCUGCCAUUCCAGGAGGGCCUCCUGGGCACUUCCAUGGGCAAUGUCACCCUCACAACACUGAGAAACGGGUCUCAUCGUUGCCAUUUUACAAACAUGGGAACAGAAGUGAAGUGACUUGCCCAGGUUCCUGUAGGCAGUAAGUGAGCGGCACCAGGGAGCCGUGGAAGCCUCCUCAGCUGGGGAGUGAUGUUUCUGCGUCAUCAAACAUUUAUGACAAGACGGAGCAACACAGAGUGACUUGGAAUGAAUUCAACAGACCAAUAUUUUGAAAUCAGGGUGGCUUGACUUCCUUUAGAGAGAACAGUUCUCCCAUCUCUUCGAGGCAUCAUCCAGAGGAGGAAGAACAGCAAGGUUCCCAGUCCCAGAGAGCACAACUCUGGUCACACGUUCCAUGAUCCCAGAUCAGUGAUCUUUGAUGUUACUGUUGCAAAAUGAUUACAACUGGGAGUUCCUGCUGUGGCACAGUGGUUAAGGAUCUGGCAUUUCCUCAGCUUCGGCUCGGAUUCGAUCCCUGGCCCGGGAACUUCCAUAUGCCAUGGGUGCAGCAGGGGAAAAAGAGAGUUACAACUUGCUGAAGGCUCAGAUGAUGACUCACCGACCAUGAAGUAGCUUAACAGUCUUCUUCGAAUAAGUGAGAAGGAAGCUCCAUGUACCGAAGAGAGAGCCCUCCAGACCUGUGGUCAGACCUCGUUUCUCCUAUGACCUUAGGUCUGCCUGCUCUCCUGCUGAAGGGGAAAGCUCAUGUUGGCAAUGGCCAAGAAUUCCUCCAAAGAUUGAAAUUGCAGCUAGACCAGGAAAGUGAUCUGGCCGUAGGCGGAGUCCCCGCAGUAAAAGUGUUUCUGUAGCUGGGAGUUCACAGCUGCCGUAAAACCUAAAUGUCAGCAACUCCCGUGGUGUUGGAUCACGUGCUACCCCGCUUACAGCCAGCAGCCCUGACAUCGGGGCCAAGCAUCUCAGCAUGCAGAAGUUUCUGGGCCAGGGAUCAACCUGGUGCCACAGCAGGAACCAGAGUACAGCAGUGACAACUCCAGAGCCACCAGGAAACGCCCACAUUAACCUUUAAUUGGAGAAGUAAUUCACAGAAUACAUGCUCCCUGUAAAAGAUUUUAAAAGGUAAGCCCUAUAUCUCUUUUCACAAUGCCUUAGAUUGGAGCUUAAUUAUCAAAAUGUAAUUCUGAAGUAUUCUAUCAGGUAAGAUGGCAGGAAUGUGUAUUCAUUCCUUAGCCCAUCCGUCUCUGUCUUCUGAGGAUCCAGCAUGGCUCCUGAUAUGGUGUCGAGUCAAUAAAUGUUGCUUAGGUGGUCUCCUUUGCACCAGCCACACCCUCAAGGGGCCUCAGCCCGAAACCUGAUUCCUUUAUGCAGCUGCCAACCACCAGCUCAGCUUUCCAGACAGUGCUCAAAUAUCCCCUCUUUUUGGAAGCCCUCCCUGGAGUCCAGGCUGAGUAAGGCAGCUUCUCUUCUGUGUCCCCAUGGCACCCUUAUUUAUUGGCUUGUCAUGCUUAUUGCAAUUUGGAAUUUGGUCACCUCUCCCCUGUUACACCAGGCAGUCUCGGGAAUUCAGUGGUGCCUGGCCUUUAGGCAUCACCUGAUCAGUGUUUGUGGACUGCUGACAGAACAACAAGCAUGUAGGCCUGGCAGUCUGUCAGCUUGGAGAGAGAGAGGGCCAGGUGUAUGCAGUAUUCUUCAUAUCGAGCUUAAUAGGAAACGGCUGUAAGAAAUUAGAUGGCUAGGGUGGCUCAGUGGUAACAAACCCAGGUUCAAUCCCUGGCCCAGUUCAGUGGGUUAAGGAUCCCACAUUGCCGUGAGCUGUGGUAUGGAUCACAGAUGUGGCUUGGAUCCAGGGUUGCUGUGGCUGUGGCGUAGGCCAGCAGCAACAGCUCUGAUUCAACCCCUAGCCUGGGAACUUCCAUAUGCCACAACUGCAGCCCUAAAAAGCAAAAGAAAGAAGAAAAAAAAAUUAGGUGGCUAAUAAUUGACCCUUGACAGUGAUUAUGAUGCUGAUAAAAAUGAUGAAUGAUUGGUAAGAAGGGUAAAUAGUAAACUCUCUCACACAUAAAAAUUUAGAACCACAUCAUUUCACCUCUUGGGAAAAUGUUUAUAACACUCUUCACUUCAAUAUUUCGCCAUGAAACCUAGAAGUUUCUUAGGCAAUUUAUCUUUUCAAAUGCAUCUCAGGGAAUGACAAACAGUAGCCAGAAAGCUGCUCAAAGAGUUCGAGUAUGGCAGCUCAUGGUCAUAAAUCUCUGGGUAGGAUCCUGAUUCUGAAAAGAAACACGAGAAAAGACUGAAAUAAAUCUACCAAGGUGUUAAUCAUGGCAGCACCACUGGAGUUAGGGUGAUGUGUGAUAUUCUUUUCUUCUUUUUACUUUUCUCAAAUCUUUCAGAUUAUACCAUGUAUGUAAAUUCAUUUUACACACACAAAAAAACAAACCAAAACCGAAAACAGACAUAAUCAAAAACAUUUCUAGCAAUUAAUGAAGUUGCUAAGGAGGCAAUUUUAAAUCAUCUAUAAUGGGUGGACAUCUAUGACAUGAGAAUAUAAUUCCAAGAAGGCUAACCUGAGCUAUCAGUUCAUUUGAUAUGAAUUGGGUACUACAACCAAAGACUGUGCUUGGGGCGGGGCUUAAAGUGCAAACAUCAGGUAUACUUCCUACCCUCAGGCAGUUCACAGACUACUGCUAGCCACAAACUCAAGCCACUAAUGGGAGCCAGGCAGCAAAGAGAAAGGAAUGAAAUCCUCCAACAGGCCCUCCUCUAAUAUUUGCUAACAUUUGCUGGCCUUGGAAAAAGUUAAAUGGAAAUCCAUUUACCAGAUGGAUUUAAAACAAGUUAACAAAUCGAAGUGGCUUCUAGUUGUCUACCUUGACACAUGUCCCUUUAUAAUGGCUCUUCUUCUCUUCCCGUGCCUGACUCCAUCACCCAAAGUAGGGAACUUUGUGCAGGUGGAUGGACAGACAUCCUGGCCACACAUUUAAGCUUCAGUCCCUCCCCUUCCCCAUCCCCAGCUUUCUCUUGGCCACUUCUCAGGCACGGGGUAUGUUCCCUAGUAUACGAUUUGCCCUUGGGAGAACUAACUGAGAAAUAAGUCUCUGCAGGCUCUGGAAACAGGCUUGGGUCACAUGGGCAGGGAAUUCCAAGGCCCAGCAGCAUGAUCUAGAAGAGGCAGUGCUGCAUCCAGGCUGCAUGGGGUCAAGGGCAGAGGCCCACUUUGCCUGAAUCUUAGGGAAGCACUAUCCCCUGGGAGGGUUGGGACUCUGGUGUGUGCUGGAGAAUAAAUGCCCCAAGUUACAACAACAGCGGCUACUCAGCUCCAUCCAUGUGGGGACAUGGAUUCGGAGGGCCACAUCUUCUACUUUAUUUUAUUUAUUUACUUUCUUUUUAUAGCCACACCUGCAGCAUAUGGAAGUUUCCAGGCUAGGGAGUGAGUGGGAAUUAGAGCUGCCUACCUAUGCCACAGCCACAGCAACGCCAGAUCCAAGCCGCAUCUUCGACCCAUACCACAGCUCACAGCAAUGCCAGAUACUGAACACACUGAAUGAGGCGAAGGAUGGAACCUACAUCCUCAUGGAAAAUAUAUAUCAGGUUCUUAACCUUGAGCCACAGCGGGAACUCCCACAUCUUCCACUUUUUAAAGAGAGGACACAAACCUGGGCUUUCUUAUGGAAUUGCAUCAUUUUUACAUGUAAGCAAGGAAUAACAAUAAUUUUAAAACCAAAGAAUCAUUCUGCUGGGCAAAUUGAAAAUAUCCGUGAACCACUGUGACCUCUAUGAAAGGAAAGAAAUUUAAAAUCCCAUUUACAUGUUGCUUGACCACUGUUUGGUUUUGAAAAUGAUAUUCACCAAUUCAUUAAUGUCACUUAAGCCCAUAAGUAAGUGAUACAUCUCCGUAGCUAUAUAUAUGUCUGAACUUCAUGCACUUUCUGUUCCGCAGCAGAAAUCUAAUUUACUUGGUACUCCUAGUACUGAUGUAUGUCCCCAUAAGCUAUCAGGAAAGACCUGGUUUUUGGAUCUGCACAUUUUUCUUCCUGGACGUUGACUUUCCUCAUGUCCUCCUCUGGCCUACCGUAAUAACCUGGGCACAUACCUCUCGCUGCAUUUCCCAUAUUGUGCUAUCUUUAGCUCUAUACAUGUUUGUCACUUCAAGAAUUAUCUCCAGGAGUUCCCGUCGUGGCGCAGCAGAAACGAAUCCGACUAGGAACCAUGAGGUUGCAGGUUCGAUCCCUGCCCUCACUCAGUGGGUUAAGGAUCUGGCGUUGCCGUGAGCUGUGGGGUAGGUUGCAGACGUGGCUCAGAUCCCACGUUGCUGUGGCUCUGGUGUAGGCUGGCAGCUGUAGCUCCAAUUCGACCCCUAGCCUGCAAACCUCCAUAUGCCAUGAGUGUGGCCCUAAAG
Molecule: long non-coding RNA, 5287 nt
Filed under: Sus scrofa (pig)
Lineage: Eukaryota; Metazoa; Chordata; Mammalia; Artiodactyla; Suidae
Description: lncRNA (multiple genes)
Source: RNAcentral